Pelobates fuscus (common spadefoot toad) is the source of this 408-nucleotide long non-coding RNA. RefSeq lists it as uncharacterized. Lineage: Eukaryota; Metazoa; Chordata; Amphibia; Anura; Pelobatidae. The transcript is spliced from 7 exons. The record is from RefSeq and is a predicted model, not a curated record.
AAUGUUUCUUCUUUCAGACAGUAUGUGGACCCCUGUGAUCCCAGACCCAUGCAUGCUUGCAUCCAGGAAAUAUUACCGGACUCUGCAGAUUGAAACUGGAGUUGACUGAAAUGUCUGAUAUAACUACCACAUGAGGCUUUCUGUGGCUGUAUAAGAAUAUGGUCUUUUUGGGCAGACUAGAUGGGCCAAAUGGUUCUUAUCUGCCGUCACAUUCUGUUUCUUCAAUGGCUGUAUAAGAAUAUGCUUCCUUAAAUACUGAAUAUGCAUUUUACAUCAAGGAGCCAUCUGAUGGAUAAAAGGUCUAUGAUCUUCUAUUUAUGGGAGGCAGAUGAGCUACUUGCAACAACAAUAACCAGGUCCUUUAACUUCUCUGCACGAAGUGUGCCAUGGAAACACUGAAUUCCAAGC